CAAUAGCGUAUAUUAAAGUUGUUGCGGUUAAAAAGCUCGUAGUUGGAUUUCUGCUGAGGACGACCGGUCCGCCCUCCGGGUGAGCAUCUGGUUCGGCCUUGGCAUCUUCUUGGUGAACGUAUCUGCACUUGACUGUGUGGUGCGGUACCCAGGACUUUUACUUGAAAAAAUUAGAGUGUUCAAAGCAGGCAAUCGCUUGAAUACAUUAGCAUGGAAUAAUAGAAUAGGACUUUGGUUCUAUUUUGUUGGUUUCUAGGACCGAAGUAAUGAUUAAUAGGGACAGUUGGGGGCAUUAGUAUUUAAUUGUCAGAGGUGAAAUUCUUGGAUUUAUGAAAGACUAACUACUGCGAAAGCAUUUGCCAAGGAUGUUUUUCAUUAAUCAAGAACGAAAGUUAGGGGAUCGAAGACGAUUAGAU
Molecule: ribosomal RNA, 416 nt
Filed under: uncultured eukaryote
Lineage: Eukaryota
Description: bacterial SSU rRNA
Rfam family: Eukaryotic small subunit ribosomal RNA
Source: RNAcentral